This 253-nucleotide ribosomal RNA is filed under the name uncultured bacterium. RNAcentral describes it as "partial 16S ribosomal RNA". It matches the Rfam family "Bacterial small subunit ribosomal RNA", at positions 524 to 776 of the family's 1533-position model. The record is from RNAcentral.
AACGUAGGUUCCGAGCGUUAUCCGGAUUUACUGGGCGUAAAGCGCGUUCAGGCGGUUUGGCAAGUCGGGCAUGAAAUCUCUCGGCUCAACCGGGAGAGGUUGUCCGAUACUGCUGGACUUGAGGGCAGUAGAGGGUGGUGGAAUUCCGGGUGUAGUGGUGAAAUGCGUAGAUAUCCGGAGGAACACCAGUGGCGAAAGCGGCCACCUGGACUGUACCUGACACUGAGGCGCGACAGCGUGGGGAGCAAACAGG